CAAUAGCGUAUAUUAAAGUUGUUGCAGUUAAAAAGCUCGUAGUCGGACCUCUGGUCUCCGCCCUGGGUCUGCCGCAAGGUACGCACCCGGGGUGUUGGCCAUCCUCCUGAGGGCGCUGUGUGCUCUUUACUGGGUGUGCAGUGAACUCAGGACCUUUACUUUGAAAAAAUUAGAGUGUUCAAAGCAGGCUUUCGCUUGAAUACAUUAGCAUGGAAUAAUGGAAUAGGACUUUGGUUCUAUUUUGUUGGUUUCUAGGACCGAAGUAAUGAUUAAUAGGGAUAGUUGGGGGCAUUAGUAUUUAAUUGUCAGAGGUGAAAUUCUUGGAUUUAUGAAAGACUAACAUCUGCGAAAGCAUUUGCCAAGGAUGUUUNCAUUGA
This 377-nucleotide ribosomal RNA is filed under the name uncultured eukaryote. Its description in RNAcentral is "partial 18S ribosomal RNA". It matches the Rfam family "Eukaryotic small subunit ribosomal RNA", at positions 592 to 976 of the family's 1831-position model. The record is from RNAcentral.